Non-coding RNA from Salvia hispanica, 1205 nucleotides. Lineage: Eukaryota; Viridiplantae; Streptophyta; Magnoliopsida; Lamiales; Lamiaceae. The record is from RefSeq and is a predicted model, not a curated record.
AGAAAGGAAAUUUAUGAAAACAAAGGAGGAAAAAAAAAGAAUAGAGGAAAGGUUGGGAGAAAGAAAAAUAAUGAAUCUUCUAGAUUUUUUGGCUAUGACUAAAUCAAGAUAGUACUUAUCUCUUUCAUUCUUUCCACCGCACACAUUUUGCAAAAUGAAAACAAAGAAGGAAUCGUUCUCUCCCUCACACACACAUAGCAUCUUCAUCCAGUCUACUCUCUCCAUCAUGUGAGCCUUUAGCUGUGAUUACCUCUCCGGUGUGACGUCCCUGCUCCGCUGGCCUCCUCUUUCCCAGGUGACCAUCUCAAUCUCCCUUCUCAACUCAUCUCCAUGGAAGUAGGAUUUAAAGCUUAAAGUUCAACACCCAAAUUCACUACUUAUGAAAUUAAGAUUAAAGGGUCAGACUAGCUCUUUUGUUGUUCAGCUGUUCAAGUCAGGUCACUAGCCAACUCUUUUGCAUUUGGGUGAUUCUUUUGAAUUAGUUAGAGGUGGCAUGUAUAGAAAGUGUAACGUUUCUUUUACUUCCAAAACUUUUGUUAAAUAAGUAUAUUUUGUAAAUAGUUAUGAGUUAUCCAUGUUAUAAAUAUAUACACAAGACUUUUGGGAAUAAGCUUACGGUCUAGUUCUAGACUGACAUUAUAUAACAGUUUUCUAGUUUGCCAAGUAAAGGCAAAUAAGAUAUUUGUAUGUGCAAAAAGGGGAUCUUCUAUUAAAUCAAGAUUUGUACCAAAAUGUGACAUUAUUUAUUCGAUUAUUAAAAUAAUCGGAUAAAGGGUGUUACAAGUUUGGUAUCAGAGCCUAGGUUUAGGCGUUCCUAGGCUUUUGGUUUGGUUAAAGUUAGUUUAGAACAUGCCACAUAGGAUGUUAAGUCGUUUUUUAUAUCAGUUACCCUAUGUCGCUACUAAUACAGAUAUAUGAGUUUUUCAAAUGGGAAUUUGACAUAUUAUUUAGUCUAAAGGUUGCCAAAGUACGGGAUAGGAAUUCCCGUGUGAUUGAGAAAGUGGUUAUAUGGGACUGGCCAUCCGAUCGGUAGCAUCAUCUUGAGUGAAAGAUUAAAAUGCUUGUAGGAUGAUGAGAUUAGAAAUGGUCAAAAGAGAUUAUUUUGUUGUGAUUUAUAAAUGUGUUGGUUUAUGGAUAAGAAUGUGAUAAUGUCUGUGAUUUGUAUACAUUGUGCGUUCAAAUAAAAUGUUGUGUGUUAUAUGGUA